CACCAGAGAUGGAGCUCUUCAGUUCGGCUGGACCGGAGACAGGUGCUGCAUGGCUGUCGUCAGCUCGUGUCGUGAGAUGUUGGGUUAAGUCCCGCAACGAGCGCAACCUCGCCCUUAGUUGCCAUCAUUUAGUUGGGCACUCUAAGGGGACUGCCGGUGAUAAGCCGGAGGAAGGUGGGGAUGACGUCAAGUCCUCAUGGCCCUUACAGGCUGGGCUACACACGUGCUACAAUGGCGGUGACAGAGGGACGCAAAGGAGCAAUCCUUCGCAAAUCUCAAAAAGCCGUCUCAGUUCGGAUUGUGCUCUGCAACUCGAGCACAUGAAGUUGGAAUCGCUAGUAAUCGCAGAUCAGCACGCUGCGGUGAAUACGUUCCCGGGCCUUGUACACACCGCCCGUCACACCAUGGGAGUUGGCUUUACCUGAAGGCGGUGCGCUAACCCGCAAGGGAGGCAGCCGACCACGGUAGGGUCAGCGACUGGGGUGAAGUCGUAACAAGGUAAGCGUAGCGAG
This 512-nucleotide ribosomal RNA is filed under the name uncultured bacterium. Its description in RNAcentral is "bacterial SSU rRNA". It matches the Rfam family "Bacterial small subunit ribosomal RNA", at positions 998 to 1509 of the family's 1533-position model. The record is from RNAcentral.